Long non-coding RNA from Helianthus annuus (common sunflower), 472 nucleotides. RefSeq lists it as uncharacterized. The transcript has 2 exons. The record is from RefSeq and is a predicted model, not a curated record. Lineage: Eukaryota; Viridiplantae; Streptophyta; Magnoliopsida; Asterales; Asteraceae.
UAAAAACUACUCCUACAUUCUCUCUCUAGAAGUUCAACAACUGAUGACCAUAUCUUUUUCCGACGAAACGUUCUUCUUCACCAUUUACAUCUUCCGGCUAUUAUUGAAGGGAGGAAACGAUUUGAGAAAGUUGAGGAUUUGAAACAGGCAUCUAUAGAGGAAGGCGGUGGAAAAGGAAUGACUUUGAAAAAGCGAAGUGCAACUUAUGUUAUCCGAUGCCAAUAUACAUCCUCAAAAGAAUCAAGAAAGAAGCGAAUGACUUUGGAAAGGCGAAGUAGUCUUUUUUUCUAAGAAUUAUAUUAAUCCUAGUUGAACUAUGGUACUGAUUUUGAAGUUGUUAGUAAUUUUCUUAUCUAUUGUGUGAAUCUUUACUUUUGAAAAGACAGUCAUACUUUGUGGUAUCGUUCUAUUUUGUAUAUAUGUUUUAAACUUAAUAAGCAUUUGAUGGUACGCAGAAACGUACUAAUGUCCA